Molecule: ribosomal RNA, 425 nt
Filed under: uncultured bacterium
Lineage: Bacteria
Description: partial 16S ribosomal RNA
Rfam family: Bacterial small subunit ribosomal RNA
Source: RNAcentral
GUGGGGAAUCUUGCACAAUGGGCGAAAGCCUGAUGCAGCCAUGCCGCGUGAAUGAUGAAGGCCUUAGGGUUGUAAAAUUCUUUCGUCAGGGAUGAUAAUGACCGUACCUGAAGAAGAAGCCCCGGCUAACUUCGUGCCAGCAGCCGCGGUAAUACGAAGGGGGCUAGCGUUGUUCGGAAUUACUGGGCGUAAAGCGCACGUAGGCGGACUUUUAAGUCAGGUGUGAAAUCCCGGGGCUCAACCUCGGAACUGCAUUUGAAACUGGAAGUCUUGAGAUCAGGAGAGGUUAGCGGAAUACCGAGUGUAGAGGUGAAAGUCGUAGAUAUUCGGUGGAACACCAGUGGCGAAGGCGGCUAACUGGACUGAUACUGACGCUGAGGUGCGAAAGUGUGGGGAGCAAACAGGAUUAGAAACCCGUGUAGUCC